UGGGGAAUAUUGCACAAUGGGCGCAAGCCUGAUGCAGCCAUGCCGCGUGUGUGAAGAAGGCCUUCGGGUUGUAAAGCACUUUCAGCGGGGAGGAAGGCGUUAAGGUUAAUAACCUUGGCGAUUGACGUUACCCGCAGAAGAAGCACCGGCUAACUCCGUGCCAGCAGCCGCGGUAAUACGGAGGGUGCAAGCGUGAAUCGGAAUUACUGGGCGUAAAGCGCACGCAGGCGGUCUGUCAAGUCGGAUGUGAAAUCCCCGUGCUCAACCUGGGAACUGCAUUCGAAGCUGGCAGGCUAGAGUCUUGUAGAGGGGGGUAGAAUUCCAGGUGUAGCGGUGAAAUGCGUAGUGAUCUGGAGGACUACCGGUGGCGAAGGCGGCCCCCUGGACAAAGACAGACGCUCAGGUGCGAAAGCGUGGGGAGCAAACAGG
Molecule: ribosomal RNA, 429 nt
Filed under: Chloroflexota bacterium
Lineage: Bacteria; Bacillati; Chloroflexota
Description: Chloroflexi bacterium partial 16S ribosomal RNA
Rfam family: Bacterial small subunit ribosomal RNA
Source: RNAcentral